CGCGUAGGCGGCUUUGUAAGUUAGAGGUGAAAGCCCGGAGCUUAACUCCGGAACUGCCUUUAAGACUGCAUCGCUAGAAUCGUGGAGAGGUGAGUGGAAUUCCGAGUGUAGAGGUGAAAUUCGUAGAUAUUCGGAAGAACACCAGUGGCGAAGGCGACUCACUGGACACGUAUUGACGCUGAGGUGCGAAAGCGUGGGAGCAAACA
RNAcentral lists this ribosomal RNA (206 nucleotides) under uncultured bacterium. RNAcentral describes it as "partial 16S ribosomal RNA". It matches the Rfam family "Bacterial small subunit ribosomal RNA", at positions 568 to 774 of the family's 1533-position model. The record is from RNAcentral.